UGGGGAAUCUUCCGCAAUGGGCGAAAGCCUGACGGAGCAACGCCGCGUGAGUGAAGACGGUUUUCGGAUUGUAAAGCUCUGUCUUUCGGGAAGAACGGCUUUUAUGUGAAGAAUGUAGAAGCGUGACGGUACCGGAGGAGGAAGCCACGGCUAACUACGUGCCAGCAGCCGCGGUAAUACGUAGGUGGCAAGCGUUGUCCGGAAUUAUUGGGCGUAAAGGGCGCGCAGGCGGGAAAAGAAGUCCGUCUUAAAAGUGCGGUGCUUAACACCGUGAGGGGACGGAAACACUUUUUCUUGAGUGCAGGAGAGGACAGUGGAAUUCCCAGUGUAGCGGUGAAAUGCGUAGAGAUUGGGAGGAACACCAGUGGCGAAGGCGGCUGUCUGGACUGUAACUGACGCUGAGGCGCGAAAGCCAGGGAAGUGAACGGG
Molecule: ribosomal RNA, 429 nt
Filed under: uncultured prokaryote
Also listed under: 1 other name
Description: bacterial SSU rRNA
Rfam family: Bacterial small subunit ribosomal RNA
Source: RNAcentral